RNAcentral lists this long non-coding RNA (1977 nucleotides) under Fukomys damarensis (Damara mole-rat). Its description in RNAcentral is "lncRNA (ENSFDAG00000033056.1)". Lineage: Eukaryota; Metazoa; Chordata; Mammalia; Rodentia; Bathyergidae. The record is from RNAcentral.
UCAUCACGACCCAUGCUCAACGCUGCACAAGUCAUAACUGCUGAACCUCGGAAACGGCCUGUCUGUCCGCCCACAGAGGGAUGGACGGAGAAAAUGUGGCUUUCCCACACAGCGAGGCUUCUCUAGGUAAAUGGGUGCACCUGGAGAUCAUACUGUGAAGUGAAAGAAACCAAACACAUAACAAGUUAUGCUUCAUAACAGCAAAGUCAUCAAAAUCUGGGGAGAGGCUGGGAACGUCCGUUCUAAUAAAAUGGAAGGUGAAAACACGUGCCAGUCCCUUGCAGAAGGCGACACGUCUUUUGACUCCAGAAGCAGCGGAAGCGGGGUUUGUCAGCGCCUCCUGUGCACACAACACUCCAAACAAACUGCUCGAGGCUCCUGUCAGAUCAAAUGUGAAGAGAAGUCAGAAAGCAGAGUGUGUUCCGAGUUACUGAUCGAUGGGCGAUGAUCCGAAUUCUCUCCCCAAAAUGGGCAUAACCUACCUGGGAUUCCCUGUCUUCACAUCGCUGCAGCUGUGGCACCUGAGCGGCAGUACUUGGGGGCAGCAUUGCGCUGCUCCACUUCACCCAACAGCUUCAUCUUAGUCUCCACUGGGCCACUGGACUCAACAAAGAGACCCUUCCGGAGCCGUGGCGGCCUGUGAGCACAGGACUAAUCAAACACGAAGACUCAGAUGUCUAAGGUCUCUUUUUACACCGUUGGCAACAACCCUCAGGCGAGUCUUCCACGCCCAGAAUCAUCGCACUGACUCAGGUCAGCUGGGUGUUGCGAGUUGACCGUGAGCUCGUCCAGCCCAGCUGGGAGGAAGCUCGGCGCUCAGGAGUCGGCGAUGCAUCUGCUCUGCCACGAGGCCGGGCAGAGGCCGGGCAGUUCCUCGGGGGCCGCGGUCUCCAGAAAAAACAGCACCAGAAUGUACGACGGGCACGACAAGUAACAAGCCGAGAUGCCGUCUCAGUGAUAGCUGACAGUGGUUUGAUGUGUGUGAUAUGUAACGACCUUCGCACAUGGAGAACGAGGCAGAGGGUGAUUCCCCAGGUUUUGCAGAGUCAGACUUCUCAUAUAAUCCGUGAAGUCCAAAUUCUACUGUCACCUCAGCCAGAAGAAGCACCAGCCCCAGAGCUGGUCAGAGGCACCCACACCCUCUGCUCCUCUUCGCAGCCCUCAGGUUUGUUUACUGUGAACCCUGGAAGAGACAGUGUGUGGGAAGGAAAGGAAACCGUCACCCUUAGCCAUCUCAGAUAACGGAACAGAGAGGGCGAGGCCCUCUGUUCUCUGGAUCGCCUCAAAGGGUGGCCUCAGAUCCAAACUGGAAAAGCUGCUUUGACUCAGCCCCUCUUCUCCUGUUGAGCUCAGUGAGGCAAUGCCACUUAAAACUAAUUUUUUUCCUGUCUCUGCCUGUGAAAGCACAUCUGCAGAAUUAAAUUCCAUACACCUACAAGGAUGCUUUCAAAGGCUCGGAAUCAAUUCUUCAAUCAUUCACUUUCUUAGCUGUGAUUAAAAACAUGUGUCCCCUAAUUAAGCUAAUGAGAAACUGUUAAUUGGCACACAGCCUCCCCCCCCACCACACUUGUUAAUGUCACUGUCACUUUGACAGGAGAAAGGAUCAAAAUCAAGGGCAGAGAGUUUUUAAGUGACUUCAGUAUUGAACUCAAGGACCGGGGUGUUAUUUGUGAAAAGAGGGCUGUCAGUUCCAGGGCCUGGUGUGGAAAAAUAAGGAAUAUUUUCUCUGCUAAUUUCAUAAGAAAGCAGGAGGAAGAGAUGCGAUAGGGCAAAGGUUGAUUUAUUUUUCUCUUCCUCAAGAAAUAAUGGCAUCUGGCCAUCUCGUGUGCCUCCAAUAUAAUGACGCCUCGGCAUGGUAGGGCUCAGCAAAGUGGAAGUACACGGCUGCUGUGGAAACAGCAGGGAGGGUUUCCCAAGGGCCCCUCUCUCGGUAUCCUCUCGGUCUCCAGUAAGCGAUAUCCUCUUCCUACAACCAAG